RNAcentral lists this ribosomal RNA (270 nucleotides) under uncultured prokaryote. RNAcentral's name for it is "partial 16S ribosomal RNA". It matches the Rfam family "Bacterial small subunit ribosomal RNA", at positions 524 to 792 of the family's 1533-position model. The record is from RNAcentral.
UACGGAGGAUCCGAGCGUUAUCCGGAUUUACUGGGUUUAAAGGGUGCGCAGGCGGGAGAUUAAGUCGGCUGUGAAAUUUUGCAGCUCAACUGUAAAAGUGCCUUCGAAACUGGUUUCCUUGAGUGUGGAUGAAGUAGGCGGAAUUUGUGGUGUAGCGGUGAAAUGCAUAGAUAUCACGAGGAACUCCGAUUGCGCAGGCAGCUUACUAAACCAUAACUGACGCUCAGGCACGAAGGCGUGGGGAGUCAAACAGGAUUAGAUACCCGGGUA